AUGUUAUCAGCUCUGGCUGGAGGCAAACGUUUGGCAAUUUUGGACUGGAAUGACAAGAAGAUGUUCCAGCUUCUAAUUCCCCUGCUUUUGGCACUCAAGGGGCAUGCCCAGGACGAUCCAGAAAACGUUCAAUGUGGCUACAGGCCUGCUUUUCCAAACUCAUCAUGGUUACCAUUUCAUGAACGGCUUCAAGUCCAGAAUGAGUAGAAUCCUGUUUCCUUCUGGAGUCCUUCCUAAUUGACAUACUUAGG
RNAcentral lists this small RNA (251 nucleotides) under Pongo abelii (Sumatran orangutan). Its description in RNAcentral is "processed transcript". Lineage: Eukaryota; Metazoa; Chordata; Mammalia; Primates; Hominidae. The record is from RNAcentral.